AAGUCGUAACAAGGUUUCUGUAGGUGAACCUGCGGAAGGAUCAUUAGUGAAUAUUAGGACGUUCAAUUUAACUUGAAGUCCGAACUCUCACUCUCUAACCCUGUGCAUUUGUUUUGGUUAGUAGGAUCUUAGUAUCUGAACGCCUCUUCAUUUUACAAACACAAAGUCUAUGAAUGUUUAAAUUUUAUAACAAAACAAAACUUUCAACAACGGAUCUCUUGGCUCUCGC
Molecule: unclassified non-coding RNA, 229 nt
Filed under: Rhodosporidiobolus nylandii
Lineage: Eukaryota; Fungi; Basidiomycota; Microbotryomycetes; Sporidiobolales; Sporidiobolaceae
Description: partial internal transcribed spacer region
Rfam family: Eukaryotic small subunit ribosomal RNA (bases 1-46)
Source: RNAcentral